AAACCAUGAUGAGGACAGAGAAGUUGUAGAUCGUUGCACCUCUCCCAAGCUUCAUACAAGGACUCACAAGGAUCUUGGGUGAAAGUAACUAUGACAUGUCGCAUAUCUGCAGUCU
Molecule: small nucleolar RNA, 115 nt
Organism: Beta vulgaris subsp. vulgaris (sugar beet)
Lineage: Eukaryota; Viridiplantae; Streptophyta; Magnoliopsida; Caryophyllales; Amaranthaceae
Rfam family: Plant small nucleolar RNA R71
About the family: R71 is a member of the C/D box family of snoRNAs containing the C (UGAUGA) and D (CUGA) box motifs. Multiple nearly identical copies of this snoRNA have been identified in Arabidopsis, and it is thought to function as a 2'-O-ribose methylation guide for 18S ribosomal RNA.
Source: Rfam